GGAAUCUUCGGCAAUGGGGGCGACCCUGACCGAGCAACGCCGCGUGAGUGAAGAAGGUUUUCGGAUCGUAAAACUCUGUUGUUAGAGAAGAACACGAGUGAGAGUAACUGUUCAUUCGAUGACGGUAUCUAACCAGCAAGUCACGGCUAACUACGUGUCAG
This 161-nucleotide ribosomal RNA is filed under the name uncultured bacterium. Its description in RNAcentral is "partial 16S rRNA". It matches the Rfam family "Bacterial small subunit ribosomal RNA", at positions 358 to 511 of the family's 1533-position model. The record is from RNAcentral.